Molecule: ribosomal RNA, 445 nt
Filed under: uncultured bacterium
Lineage: Bacteria
Description: bacterial SSU rRNA
Rfam family: Bacterial small subunit ribosomal RNA
Source: RNAcentral
UCCAGACUCCUACGGGAGGCAGCAGUAGGGAAUCUUUCACAAUGGGCGAAAGCCUGAUGGAGCAACGCCGCGUGCAGGAUGAAGGCCUUCGGGUUGUAAACUGCUUUUAUAAGCGAGAAAUAUGAUGGUAACUUAUGAAUAAGGAUCGGCUAACUACGUGCCAGCAGCCGCGGUAAUACGUAGGGGGCAAGCGUUAUCCGGAUUUACUGGGUGUAAAGGGAGCGUAGACGGCAAUACAAGUCGGAAGUGAAAUACCCGGGCUCAACCUGGGAACUGCUUUGGAAACUGUAUGGCUGGAGUGCUGGAGAGGUAAGCGGAAUUCCUAGUGUAGCGGUGAAAUGCGUAGAUAUUAGGAGGAACACCAGUGGCGAAGGCGGCUUACUGGACAGUAACUGACGUUGAGGCUCGAAAGCGUGGGGAGCAAACAGGAUUAGAUACCCUAGUA